AUGAACGCUGGCGGCGUGCCUAAUACAUGCAAGUCGAGCGAACAGAUGAGGAGCUUGCUCCUCUGACGUUAGCGGCGGACGGGUGAGUAACACGUGGAUAACCUACCUAUAAGACUGGGAUAACUUCGGGAAACCGGAGCUAAUACCGGAUAAUAUAUUGAACCGCAUGGUUCAAUAGUGAAAGACGGUUUUGCUGUCACUUAUAGAUGGAUCCGCGCCGCAUUAGCUAGUUGGUAAGGUAACGGCUUACCAAGGCAACGAUGCGUAGCCGACCUGAGAGGGUGAUCGGCCACACUGGAACUGAGACACGGUCCAGACUCCUACGGGAGGCAGCAGUAGGGAAUCUUCCGCAAUGGGCGAAAGCCUGACGGUGCAACGCCGCGUGAGUGAUGAAGGUCUUCGGAUCGUAAAACUCUGUUAUUAGGGAAGAACAAAUGUGUAAGUAACUAUGCACGUCUUGACGGUACCUAAUCAGAAAGCCACGGCUAACUACGUG
This 496-nucleotide ribosomal RNA is filed under the name uncultured bacterium. Its description in RNAcentral is "partial 16S ribosomal RNA". It matches the Rfam family "Bacterial small subunit ribosomal RNA", at positions 29 to 507 of the family's 1533-position model. The record is from RNAcentral.